GGGGGUGAAUAGGUUCGACAGGGGGUUUAGCAUUCGAGGGAGCAUGCAGAGGUUCGUCAGGUGCCUCUUUAAAAAACGUGGCAAAACAUAAAUGCUGAUACACUCAGCUGGAACGAAAGAGCUGUCGGACCGGUUUCGGUUCCGAUGCCUCUUCCUAUCGCUGCUUAACUGCUAGCGACGCUACGGGGCUGACACCUGCUAGGCCUCUCUGGCGACCAAAGCGGGUUGCUUUCUGAGCUUCGCCGUUGAGUUCAGGGAAAAGAUUUAGACGGCUCGUUCCUUGGAAUCUCGUCGGCAGAGAUCCGGGGGAUCAAACCGAUUGCCGACUGAGCAUGGAGACCCCUUGAUGACGGAUCCUUUGGACGAGGGUGCAAUUCCCUCCACCUCCACCA
RNAcentral lists this transfer-messenger RNA (392 nucleotides) under Candidatus Omnitrophota. RNAcentral describes it as "Pegaeibacterium sp019052695 Standard tmRNA". It matches the Rfam family "transfer-messenger RNA". Rfam says of the family: Bacterial tmRNA, also known as 10Sa RNA or SsrA, is named for its dual tRNA and mRNA-like properties. Its role is to liberate the mRNA from a stalled ribosome. To accomplish this part of the tmRNA is used as a reading frame that ends in a translation stop signal. The record is from RNAcentral. Lineage: Bacteria; Pseudomonadati. RNAcentral also lists the same sequence under 1 other name.